GAUGAACGCUGGCGGCGUGCCUAAUACAUGCAAGUCGAGCGAACAGAUGAGGAGCUUGCUCCUCUGACGUUAGUGGCGGGCGGGUGAGUAACACGUGGAUAACCUACCUAUAAGACUGGGAUAACUUCGGGAAACCGGAGCUAAUACCGGAUAAUAUAUUGAACCGCAUGGUUCAAUAGUGAAAGACGGUUUUGCUGUCACUUAUAGAUGGAUCCGCGCCGCAUUAGCUAGUUGGUAAGGUAACGGCUUACCAAGGCAACGAUGCGUAGCCGACCUGAGAGGGUGAUCGGCCACACUGGAACUGAGACACGGUCCAGACUCCUACGGGAGGCAGCAGUAGGGAAUCUUCCGCAAUGGGCGAAAGCCUGACGGAGCAACGCCGCGUGAGUGAUGAAGGUCUUCGGAUCGUAAAACUCUGUUAUUAGGGAAGAACAAAUGUGUAAGUAACUAUGCACGUCUUGACGGUACCUAAUCAGAAAGCCACGGCUAACUACGUG
RNAcentral lists this ribosomal RNA (497 nucleotides) under uncultured bacterium. RNAcentral's name for it is "partial 16S ribosomal RNA". It matches the Rfam family "Bacterial small subunit ribosomal RNA", at positions 28 to 507 of the family's 1533-position model. The record is from RNAcentral.